This 300-nucleotide unclassified non-coding RNA is filed under the name Phylloporus sp. RNAcentral describes it as "partial contains small subunit ribosomal RNA and internal transcribed spacer 1". The stretch from base 1 to 46 matches the Rfam family "Eukaryotic small subunit ribosomal RNA", at positions 1786 to 1831 of the family's 1831-position model. Lineage: Eukaryota; Fungi; Basidiomycota; Agaricomycetes; Boletales; Boletaceae. The record is from RNAcentral.
AAGUCGUAACAAGGUUUCCGUAGGUGAACCUGCGGAAGGAUCAUUAGUGUUAAACCGUUGUUUGUGUGCAGUUUCGGCUGCACAUAGACAACAAAUUACUCACACUUGUGCAUAUGUUAGCAAUAUUUAUGGUAGUUUAAAUGGAUAGCUUGAUUCUUUUUUAAAGGAUCAGGCCUUUCAUGUCUCUGUCAAUCUUUGCUCUUGGAGUAAAGAAAGACGAGUGGCUGCCAGAUUUGUUGUUUUAUAUACUCUUAUUUUAUAAAUAUAUCGUCUGAAUUUUAUAAAAUGAAAUUUAUUUCA